RNAcentral lists this ribosomal RNA (811 nucleotides) under Geotrichum sp. RNAcentral's name for it is "LSU rRNA". It matches the Rfam family "Eukaryotic large subunit ribosomal RNA", at positions 79 to 939 of the family's 3401-position model. Lineage: Eukaryota; Fungi; Ascomycota; Dipodascomycetes; Dipodascales; Dipodascaceae. The record is from RNAcentral.
CUUAGUAACGGCGAGUGAAGCGGCAAAGCUCAAUUUGAAAUCGGCCACCAGGUCGAGUUGUAAUUUGUAGAUUGUAUCUUGAGAGCGGAUUAAAGUCUGUUGGAACACAGCGCCUUAGAGGGUGACAGCCCCGUAAAAUCUAUUCUCAUUGUAAGAUACUUUCGAAGAGUCGAGUUGUUUGGGAAUGCAGCUCUAAGUGGGAGGUAAAUUCCUUCUAAAGCUAAAUAUUGACGAGAGACCGAUAGCGAACAAGUACUGUGAAGGAAAGAUGAAAAGCACUUUGAAAAGAGAGUGAAAAAGUACGUGAAAUUGUUAAAAGGGAAGGGUAUUGAAUCAGACUUGGUGCUGUUGUUCAACUGUGUUUUGGCACAGUGUACUCAGCAGUACUAGGCCAAGGUGGGGUGUUUGGGAGUGAAAAAGAAGUUGGAACGUAACUCUUCGGAGUGUUAUAGCCUACUUUCAUAGCUCCUCAGGCGCCUCAGGACUGCGCUUCGGCAAGGACCUUGGCAUAAUGAUUCUAUACCGCCCGUCUUGAAACACGGACCAAGGAGUCUAACGUCUAUGCGAGUGUUUGGGUGUAAAACCCGUACGCGUAAUGAAAGUGAACGUAGAUAGGAGCAGUAAUGCGCACUAUCGACCGAUCCUGAUGUUUUCAGAUGGAUUUGAGUAAGAGCAUAGCUGUUGGGACCCGAAAGAUGGUGAACUAUGCCUGAAUAGGGUGAAGCCAGAGGAAACUCUGGUGGAGGCUCGUAGCGGUUCUGACGUGCAAAUCGAUCGUCGAAUUUGGGUAUAGGGCGAAAGACUAAUCGAA